Molecule: long non-coding RNA, 432 nt
Filed under: Crocodylus porosus (Australian saltwater crocodile)
Lineage: Eukaryota; Metazoa; Chordata; Crocodylia; Crocodylidae
Description: lncRNA (ENSCPRG00005009002.1)
Source: RNAcentral
GGCCUUUUGGCUCCCAGCAAAGGGGGAGCGCCUGAAAAAGAGGCAAGGGUAUCUCUGUGCCCCAGCUAUUCCCAGAGCUUGAACAGACCCUCUGAAUGCAGGAAUCUCAGCAGGCAACACAGCAAGCUGUGGCAGAACUGGAAACAGAAGCCCUUAUUGUACGACUUCAAGGACUCUGAGACGUACCCAGGGGUGCUGCCAUGAGACAUAUGCCACCCACUUGCUCCCAGGACAACUGAGGAAGAGUCAUGACACAAUUGCUACAAGAAAGAGGCUCCAAUGCCAUUCCCAUCUUGGUUCCCAUUGUGGGGCAUAAGACAAGGACAAUACAACAUCCAACUGAUCCCUGGCGAUCAAAACAGCUUCUUGAGACUGUGAGUAUUUUGGGUGUUGGCAAAAGCAGCCUGAACUGGGAUGAGCAGUCUCACACAC